AGUAUGCUUGGAUUUUGUAUCAGACUAUUAAAAGAGGCUUACUCUUAAAUGAUCUUUCUUUGGCGCAUAGGUCCUCCCCAGUAUCGGUAGAGUCAUGGUGUAUUAACAGGGAACAUGAAGAUACUACAAGAUACUACAACCAAGAGAGUAAAACCCUAACAAGUUUAUAGCACUGGAAUGAGACUGAGCUAGGAAGAGCUCAAAAGAAAAUCCCUUUCAUGUGAAAUCAUCAAAAAACAGUCGCUGAACUUGUGAACAUGUAGGGCUUCAGAGCACAUCUGGAUAUCUUCACCAAAAAAAUUGAAAUGACUGCACCCUCCGGAUGGACCCUGAGCUUGGUUUAUCGGUUGCUUUGCUUGGGACUGCCAAUGGACCCUAAUGUGUUCAGACCCUGUGAGACAGCACCCAUCAGUAAAGGCACCAAGGAGGAUUCCAGCUUCUUUUCCCUCGUGGAGCAGCCCCACCCUUGCUGCUUCCUGACAUUCUUAGAUCAUGUCUGGAGGUUAAACAG
Molecule: long non-coding RNA, 511 nt
Organism: Corapipo altera (White-ruffed manakin)
Lineage: Eukaryota; Metazoa; Chordata; Aves; Passeriformes; Pipridae
Exons: 4
Source: RefSeq, a predicted model, not a curated record